This 236-nucleotide long non-coding RNA is filed under the name Gossypium barbadense (sea-island cotton). RNAcentral describes it as "long non-coding RNA (GBAR_LNC009171)". The record is from RNAcentral. Lineage: Eukaryota; Viridiplantae; Streptophyta; Magnoliopsida; Malvales; Malvaceae.
AGUUACUAAAUCCGGGUUAAGUCCCGAAGGCAUUUGUGCGAGUUACUAUAACCGGGCUAUGUCCCGAAGGCAUUUGAACGAGUAGCUAUAUUCGGUUAAAUUCCGAAGGUACGUGAUUUGGGAAUGAAUGAUCUUGCUGUAAAAAUUUCAGUUAAUACGCUUGUAACAUCCCAACAUUGAGGUAUGUUUCGUAUGUGCUUUGAAUUAGUUGAGCCCUUAAAAAUAAGUAUUCGCUC